RNAcentral lists this transfer RNA (73 nucleotides) under Candidatus Portnoyibacteriota bacterium. Its description in RNAcentral is "Candidatus Portnoybacteria bacterium tRNA-Thr". It matches the Rfam family "tRNA". Rfam says of the family: Transfer RNA (tRNA) molecules are approximately 80 nucleotides in length. Lineage: Bacteria; Candidatus Portnoyibacteriota. The record is from RNAcentral.
GCCGGAGUAGCUCAGUCGGUAGAGCGACGCACUCGUAACGCGUAGGUCAGGAGUUCGAUUCUCCUCUCCGGCU